Long non-coding RNA from Rhipicephalus microplus (southern cattle tick), 169 nucleotides. Lineage: Eukaryota; Metazoa; Arthropoda; Arachnida; Ixodida; Ixodidae. The record is from RefSeq and is a predicted model, not a curated record.
GAAAUGACAAGCUGCAAGACAUGCUGCAAAACGAACUCAAAACAUUGGCCAGCCGUUCCUGUUGCGGCCACCAAUGCAGCACAUCUACUAAUCAUGGCGCCUAUGAACAUGAGGCCACCCACAGGAGCAUUCAAGAGAAGGCAAGGCCGUUGCAGUUCAUGCAGCCAUC